This 567-nucleotide ribosomal RNA is filed under the name uncultured archaeon. RNAcentral describes it as "bacterial SSU rRNA". It matches the Rfam family "Archaeal small subunit ribosomal RNA", at positions 312 to 879 of the family's 1478-position model. The record is from RNAcentral.
CGCGAUUCGCCCUUCGGGGCGCAGCAGGCGCGAAAACUUUACAAUGCGGGAAACCGUGAUAAGGGGACACCGAGUGCCAGCAUCAUAUGCUGGCUGUCCAGGUGUGUAAAAUACACCUGUUAGCAAGGGCCGGGCAAGACCGGUGCCAGCCGCCGCGGUAACACCGGCGGCCCGAGUGGUGAUCGUGAUUAUUGGGUCUAAAGGGUCCGUAGCCGGUCUGGUCAGUCCUCCGGGAAAUCUGACGGCUCAACCGUUAGGCUUUCGGGGGAUACUGCCAGGCUUGGAACCGGGAGAGGUAAGAGGUACUACAGGGGUAGGAGUGAAAUCUUGUAAUCCCUGUGAGACCACCUGUGGCGAAGGCGUCUUACCAGAACGGGUUCGACGGUGAGGGACGAAAGCUGGGGGCACGAACCGGAUUAGAUACCCGGGUAGUCCCAGCCGUAAACGAUGCUCGCUAGGUGUCAGGCAUGGCGCGACCGUGUCUGGUGCCGCAGGGAAGCCGUGAAGCGAGCCACCUGGGAAGUACGGCCGCAAGGCUGAAACUUAAAGGAAUUGGCGGGGGAGCAC